CAUGUUGUAAAUGGGAACUCGUGGUCGCUUACUCUCUAUAUAAUCUGCUCCCUAAUCACCUCGUGGUUGUCGGCUCUUGGUGAUUCUUCUGCUACUGGCUCCCAGGGGUUGGAUAUAACAUUCUUUCUCUCAUACCAUUGUGUGAUGAAGGCGCCUAGCUAACAGGUGGGAAGCCUCUUUCAUCAUUAACUGCGUGUACUACUAGCAAUACGGAGUCAUGUCAAAGCUUACUGAGUUUCAAAGAGGGCAAAUUAUUGGUGCUUGCUUAGCUGGUGCCUCUGUCUCUGAAGUUUCCGCUUUAUAUGUGGUGUCGCCAGGUACAAUAUCAAAGGUUAUGAUGGAAUAUACAGGUUCCAGGAAAACCUUGUCUGAUAAGCAAGAGCCCAUUCGACAUGGACAACUGACUGAAAGGGACAAAUAGACAUUGCACUGGAUUGUGACCCAGAAUAAGAAAACUGCUGUAAAAGUAACUGCAGAGCUCAAUCUGUCUUCCAAAGCUGUGCCCACAAACUGUGCGGAGGGAGCUUCAAAGGCAAAACAUUCUCGGGUGAGCUGCAAUUGCCAAACCACUAGUGACUGAUCCUAAUGCUCAGAAGAGUGGUGUAGUACCUAUAAAUCGUGGACUAUCAAUGGACUGUAAAAUGGUCUUCUGAAUUAAGCGUUCCCAACCACCGGAUGUGUUAAUUUGUGGCCUACAUUGUCUCAAGCUUGGGACCAUGACUGUCUUGUGGUUUGGGCAGCCGUAUCUUGCAGGCCCCAUCACCCUGAAAGGUAGAGUCUCUGCCAGCGACUAUGUUCAAAUUCUGGCUGACCAUGUGCUCCCCUUGAUGCCGACAUUGUUUCCCAAAGACGACACCAUUUACCAAGAUGAGAAUGCUGGGGUUGUCAAAUUGUGCUUUGAGCAUGCAGACAGCCUUGCACCUUGCCUGGGUGCUGCAGUUGCCAGACCUCAACAUAGAACCACUAUGGUCAAUUUUGGAGAACAAGGUUUGGGCUUGUUUUUCACCACCUAGCAUCUGUGAGAAUUGGAACAAUUUUUUGCAUGAAGAGUGGUAUCCGAUUACAUUGGCCACCAUCCAAGACUUGUAUUUGAUGAUUUCCAGGAGAAUUCAGGCCAUCUUUGAUGUCACAGGCAGUUCAGCACCAUGUUCGGUAAAUGGAUUCAGAGCAUAAGCAACCAGCCAUCAUUGAGUUCUUGAUGGUGGGUACAAUCUGUCUGACAUCCACAGAAGUUUUCAGCAUGUUUACAGAGAUGCCAAUAUUGAUGAGAGCAAUGUGCACAGGUGGAUGAAAAAGUUUAAAGCUGGGUAAACCAGCGCAGAGGAUAAUCCAUGCAGUGGGAAACCAACUGCAACCACUGACAUGAAUCGGUUAUUGAGCUUGCUGCAUAACUGGACUGGUCCUAAUGCCAUACAGAAGAUACUGGAAAACUCAAAAUAUCUAAAGUGUGUGCAAAGUGAUUACUUUGUUUUUCCUGGAGAUGUGUUUGGUUUCUAAUUUACAAGCAUUUGGGUAUGCAGUAGCUGUUGGUCAAGUGGGUGUUUGAAAUGUUUCAAUGCUUAUGGAAAAUAAAAAUUGAGUGGACCCCUCCCCAAA
Rana temporaria (common frog) is the source of this 1596-nucleotide long non-coding RNA. RefSeq lists it as uncharacterized. Lineage: Eukaryota; Metazoa; Chordata; Amphibia; Anura; Ranidae. The transcript is spliced from 3 exons. The record is from RefSeq and is a predicted model, not a curated record.